CCUACGGGAGGCAGCAGUGGGGAAUAUUGCGCAAUGGGCGAAAGCCUGACGCAGCGACGCCGCGUGAGGGAUGAAGGUCUUCGGAUCGUAAACCUCUGUCAGCAGGGAAGAACGGUCACUGUGCUAAUCAGCAGUGAAUUGACGGUACCUGCAAAGGAAGCACCGGCUAACUCCGUGCCAGCAGCCGCGGUAAUACGGAGGGUGCGAGCGUUAAUCGGAAUUACUGGGCGUAAAGCGCUCGUAGGCGGUAUGUCAAGUCAAGGGUGAAAUCCCCGCGCUCAACGUGGGAACUGCCGUUGAAACUGGCAGACUGGAGUGUGUGAGAGGAGAGUGGAAUUCCAGGUGUAGGAGUGAAAUCCGUAGAUAUCUGGAGGAACAUCAGUGGCGAAGGCGACUAUCUGGCACAUAACUGACGCUGAGGAGCGAAAGCGUGGGUAGCAAACAGGAUUAGAUACCCGAGUAGUC
Molecule: ribosomal RNA, 465 nt
Filed under: uncultured bacterium
Lineage: Bacteria
Description: partial 16S ribosomal RNA
Rfam family: Bacterial small subunit ribosomal RNA
Source: RNAcentral